UACGUAGGGUGCGAGCGUUGUCCGGAAUUAUUGGGCGUAAAGCGCGCGUAGGUGGCUUCGUAAGUCCGUUGUGAAAGUCAAAGGCUCAACCUUUGAAAGCCGAUGGAUACUGCGGAGCUAGAGUACGGAAGAGGCGAGUGGAAUUCCUGGUGUAGCGGUGGAAUGCGCAGAUAUCAGGAGGAACACCAAUAGCGAAGGCAGCUCGCUGGGACGUUACUGACACUGAGGCGCGAAAGCGUGGGGAGCGAACAGG
Molecule: ribosomal RNA, 253 nt
Filed under: uncultured bacterium
Lineage: Bacteria
Description: partial 16S ribosomal RNA
Rfam family: Bacterial small subunit ribosomal RNA
Source: RNAcentral